GCUCAUGUAGCUUAAAUCAAAGCAUAGCACUGAAGAUGCUAAGAUGAACCCUAAAAAGUUCCACAAGCA
RNAcentral lists this transfer RNA (69 nucleotides) under Coilia grayii (Gray's grenadier anchovy). RNAcentral describes it as "tRNA-Phe". It matches the Rfam family "tRNA". Rfam says of the family: Transfer RNA (tRNA) molecules are approximately 80 nucleotides in length. Lineage: Eukaryota; Metazoa; Chordata; Actinopteri; Clupeiformes; Engraulidae. The record is from RNAcentral. RNAcentral also lists the same sequence under 3 other names.